RNAcentral lists this ribosomal RNA (497 nucleotides) under uncultured bacterium. RNAcentral describes it as "partial 16S ribosomal RNA". It matches the Rfam family "Bacterial small subunit ribosomal RNA", at positions 28 to 507 of the family's 1533-position model. The record is from RNAcentral.
GAUGAACGCUGGCGGCGUGCCUAAUACAUGCAAGUCGAGCGAACAGACGAGGAUCUUGCUUCUCUGACGUUAGCGGCGGACGGGUGAGUAACACGUGGAUAACCUACCUAUAAGACUGGGAUAACUUCGGGAAACCGGAGCUAAUACCGGAUAAUAUAUUGAACCGCAUGGUUCAAUAGUGAAAGACGGUUUUGCUGUCACUUAUAGAUGGAUCCGCGCCGCAUUAGCUAGUUGGUAAGGUAACGGCUUACCAAGGCAACGAUGCGUAGCCGACCUGAGAGGGUGAUCGGCCACACUGGAACUGAGACACGGUCCAGACUCCUACGGGAGGCAGCAGUAGGGAAUCUUCCGCAAUGGGCGAAAGCCUGACGGAGCAACGCCGCGUGAGUGAUGAAGGUCUUCGGAUCGUAAAACUCUGUUAUUAGGGAAGAACAAAUGUGUAAGUAACUAUGCACGUCUUGACGGUACCUAAUCAGAAAGCCACGGCUAACUACGUG